AAAUCAACUACAAAUAGUCUAGUAUUAACUGAUUGUAUUAAAAAUAUACAAAUAUUUCACAAAAAAAGUGUAGAACAAAACAUAUUUUACAUUUCAUAAUAUUGCGAAAACGCAUCAGUGGGACGAUACGAUAUAAUAUUUGGUACUACGUUUUAUGGCGCCGUGUGAUACUCAGCAUAGAUAAAAGGGGUUUAAUAAUACUCAGGGUUUAAUGAUACUCAGCAAAGCAAGUAGUAUGUAGGUGCGCUUGACACUUUUGGCUAGUGAUGCGAAGAGUCCGGAUUAAUCGUCCGUUCAAUCCGAAUAUCAAAUUAUUCCGAAUCAAUCCGGAUAUCUAAAUCGUCCGGAUACACGCCGCCCGUUCGUUCGACCGACAAUGAAAUAAAAGCUUGCGCGAAGUGACACGAAGUUCCACGUUCCACCGGCUAAGAGAAUCCGAAUUAAAUCGUCCGGACAAAUAACCCGGCAAUCGGCAAUAUCGUCGCGUCACCUUGUGUAAACCUAUUGCUUUAUUUAUCCUUAUUGUACUCAUUUAGAAACAUAAGAGACAAUAUGAGAACGCCCAAACUUUUUUGUAAAUAAAGCAUUUUUGUAGUGAUAUUUUGCAUCGUUUAAAAUACACUUGAUUUAUUACAUACAUAAUUAACUAUUUUAGUUUUAACAUCAUGUAGAAAUGCGUAAAAACGAAAUGUCUAAUGGGUUGCAUAAUGCAUACCUUAUAUUCGAAAAACAGCUAUAAAAAACGUUUAUCGGACGGUCGAGCAUCGAGCCCGAAACAUGGCAUAAUUUGCCGAACGGGCGAGACAUCGAGCGGAUGAAUUCAUCCGGAUGAAAAAACCGAAUUUUCAAUUCAUCCGAAUCAAUGCUGUCCGGAUAUUGAAUUAAUCCGGAUUUUUACAACACUACUUUUGGCACAUGUAUACAGUUUGACUGUGACAUAUUCGACACCUCCUUCGUGCCUUGUCAGGACUAUGGGUCAGCACAUGGCCUAUAUUGUCGAAACGUAAUUCGUUGAUUCCUGUUGCAAGAUUUCUAAUUACCGUGAUUUUCUCUGUUUUUAUAAGACGAAGUGCUAUAUAGGAUUUGAAAUCAAGUUGCGACAUUGAUGUAUCAUUGAAAAUGUUAUAAAAUUCCAUGCAUUGACAGUUAGGCUGUCAAUGGCAUUGAUGAAUAUAGGCCACCACCACUUUUUUCCCAGUACAUUACACCUAUAAUUGGCGAUGCCAUUAUCGUGCAAAUCCACUCCCGCCAUAUACUUGUUAUAUUGAGAUAUAACAUUGGGUUGAGGAACAGACUUAUCAACUCUUUUUUUCCUAUCAAAUCUUUUCACACGACUAAUAGGUUCAACGCCAAAAGUAUUACUAGCAACAGUCACCACCGAAUUGUCGUUCCAACGAACUAUUGAGACGUUUGAUAAUUUGUCAUAUGCCGCUGAGUAGGUCCCAAGGUCCUUCUUUCCUAUCGACUUAGGAUCUUCAACUGGACAUUUGUUAUUUCUGUUGUCCCUGAUGGUACCAGUAGCAAAAAAGCCAUUAUUUUUCAAGUGUACAAAUAAUUUAAAUGAGGAAAAAAAGUUAUCAAAAAAUAUUUGGUGGUUUAUAGGCUUUUCUACUACCGACAGCAGACUUAGAACAACAUCGCCACCAAGUCCAAGUGAAGAGUACUAUUUAUUGGGGUCCUGUCGUGCAUAUGGCAAAGAAUAAAAAAGAUACCCCCCAGGUGAACAAAGGCACCAAAUUUUAAACCCAAAUCGAACGGGCUUGCUCUUCAAAAACAUCUUACAAGAGUGCCUACCGAAAUAAGGCACCAAGCGAAAAACCUUCUACCACCUUCAAAAACAGAAGGCACCAAGCGUUUCAUCGUCGGACGAAUCGUCAAUCAAAUUCUGUUGAAAGUCCGGCGAGUUUGAAGUACCUGGCGAAUUUGGCAGAUCCUUCUCAGACCUUUUGUCACUGCCCACUGUCUCAGCUUUAGCCUGAAAAUCCUUGUCUGAGGGACCCUGUAACUCAAAUGUCCCUGCUAUAUCUUUCGGCUCCCCUACUUCGCAUAAAUUGGCCUCAUCAUCAAAGGUCUCUUCGUCGGUAAGGACAUCAGGGUCUGGUGGGAUAAAAAACCCCAUCGAUAUACCCUAAAACAAUUUUUGACAGGAACAAUCGAAUGUAUAAAACAAAUUUAAAUUUUGUGGAACAUAAUAAAUAAAUAUCACUAAGUUUAUAACUUACCUUCUCUUGUUCUAAAACAAUCUCCUCCAUAGCUUCUACUAAUUCUUUUUGAGUAAGAAACCGCCUAUAAGCCAUUUUAAACCUGUUUCACGACGACACGAACCGUAAAACACAAAUUCUUUCGCUAGACUGCAAAUCUAAGCACUUUAGUUCCCGACUAUUAUUCCUUUCUUGACAGGCUCAGACGUGAAAAAGUCACAUGUUAAUUUAUGGUUUAUACCAGUGAUGCGUUUUCGCAACAGCAGAUUUUGUUGCAUUUUUUUUAUCGCCAAAAAAGAUAACUGAUUGGUAAUAACAUAUGUACUGUAAGGAUUUAUGUUCAUAUUUGAAGAAAACAGUGUUUGCUUUAAAAAAAGAAACCCGAAACAAUUUUUUUUAGAAUUUAAUAUACAGCGAGAAAAAAAGAAAAUUUUUUACUACAAUUCGUCUUGCAUACAUUGAUUUGGUAAAAGAACAAACAUUUCCAAGUUUUUCUUAAAGUUGCAUUGUAGUUCUCUUAAAAUAAAUUAGAUAAUUCAAACAGAAAAUAAUUAGCUGCGACAAAAAAAAAAUUUGGUGUUGCGUAAAUGCAUCACUGGGGCAAAAUGGGUUAAACUUAUAAAAUCGUCCGAGUCUAGGAAAUUCAUAACUUUCUCAACAUAGUCGACUCUUCUCAUUAUGACCAGACAAUUAUCCUUGUCUGCUUUCGAAAGGGUUAAAUCAUUAUCCCGAAUUUUGUUUUUUAAAGAAAGCAGAUGUUCAUGAUGGAAAUUUAACGCACUACUAUUAAAAUUCUUAAAAUUUAAAAAACUUAUUAUUUUGGCUCUCAAAAUAUUUUAUCGUGUAUGUCUGUAGUAUGUUUUCAGCCUCUACAGCUAACAUCUCUCGUGUGCGCAAAUUCACCUUUUUGGAGAAAUUAUAUUUCAAGUUUAAAUUAAGCAACCUUUCUUCAUAUUGUGUAAACUUCACGCCAGAUAAAUCGCCUUGUUUAAGGUUUUGUAGUGGCAUUUAACUUCUUCACGCAGCCAUGUGUUUCUAGCAACAUACAAGGCGGUGUUAGCAGAUUUAUUUCUUGUUUUGCAUCUUAGGUGUAUAAAUUUCGGUGUUAAAUUAAAAAGAAGGCAUCGUUGAAGGAACCAAACUUUUAGCAACAUAUUUCUCCGUGUAAAAAGGUUCUUCUGGUAGUGUCGGAUGAGCUUUGCCUGAUUAGCAUUUUCCAACAAAAAGGCUUCAUCCAAUUUCUCAAAGAGACCAGGUACAACAUAAAGAAACGAAGAAAAACGACCAAGUCACGGUCUCACUCUUGGUUAUUUUUCUUCUUUUGUUUAUGUUGUACCUGGUCUCCUUGAGAAACUGGAUGAAGCCUUUUUGUUUUAUCUUGGUGCUGUUGAGAUUCGCUGUCACCUUCACAUUUUAGAUUUGGUUGACCCAGCCACCUAGCAUAGGAUGUAUAUCUCGUCCAGCUAUGACAUGGUUGAUUGUGUCAUGACAUGCUAUCAACGGCUCUUUCAACGUCUAAGAAGGUUCCUAGGGUGAUUUAUUUGCUGUUGAAACAUUACUCCACCCUCUGAGUUAUUUCGUGGAUCGCAUGAUUUAGAAGAUUUACCUGUAGGCAUAUUGGUGUCUUAGUAGGCAUAUUGGUGUCGAUGUCGAGGGCUAGCACUAGUACAUCGUCCCUAAUAUACCUUUCUAUAAGCUUUUCCUCUGGUUUCAGGAGAAAUGAUGUAAUGCAGAUCGGUCGGAAGGAUUCAGGUUUCGCGUCCCACUUUUGGUAGGAAUACUACUUUCGCUUCCGUCCAACUCUCUUGUAUAUGACGUGGCUAGCCUGGCCGGUAUUGUUUUUCAUAACGCGGGCAGCAGUAGUUCUUUGUACUGCUGUAGCAUGCUGGGUAUAAUACCAUCUAUUCCGGGAGACUUAAAUGGUUUGAAGGUGUCUAUCGUCCAUUUAACUUUCUCGUAGGCUACAACUAUUUUUGCCAGCUCCUUGUUCUGCCUUGCUCCUGUUUAGAAUAACAGGAGUCGAAUGUCGCCUUCAAGACUCCGGCACUGGAUUGAAGAACAGCGGACCUCUUGGCAAGGGAAUUGGCGUUCCGAUUUCCCUGCUGUGGUUGUGCCUCUUGAUCCAACAACAAAGACUCCCACCCUCUGUUGUUGGAAGAAGCUUCCACUAGGGUGCGAUAGCAUCCUUGGAGUAGUUCUGACGUAAAAUGCGAUGCAAGAACUGCCAAUCCGCAUCCGAGGGUAAGUAGUAGAAGUGGAAUCAGAAAACCGUGCAACUCCGUACUUUCUUGGAAGUUGGAACUAAAUAUGCCAUCCUCUCUGCGUUGCUUGGCUACUUCCCGAUUAGGAUCUUUAUUGAGAGCUUUGUGGACUCACUCGCAGUGGAUGAUUGUUUGACAAAACUUGACAAUGUUAAAAUUAGUGUUCCUAAACUGCCAACAGUCGCGUGUAUUCAUUACUGCAUCAUUUGAGGAAUCUGUGCCAGAUCAGUAAGACCUCGUCGGUUUUUUGGGGUUGCAAACUCGAUUUUUAAGUUAACUACAACAUGUCGCAUUAUACAAAGAUGCAUAAAAUAAAAACUACUUGUCAGUCAUGGGAUCAAGAAAGCAUGCAAAAUGCAAUAGUUAAAGUGCUGGAACAUAGGGUAGGAUACAAAAAAGCCAAUCAAAGCUUUAAUGUUCCGCAAUCCACCUUAGAAAAUCGUAUGACAAAAGUGAGAAAUAACAGAUAACUUUGUUAAAGAAACUAGUAAGAACGGUCUGGGUCGAUACAAGGCUGAUGCGUUUAGCGCUGCCCAAGAGGAUGGGCUAGUUUUGCAUAUCUUAUAAAUGGAAAGCAGACUAUUCGUAUUUACUUUAUCUGAAUGAAGAAUUCUUGCUUACGAACUAGCCAUACAGAACAACAUCAAUUACAAUUUCAAUACAGAAAAGAAAAUGGUCGAAGGAACUUCAAUUGGACGAACUAUAGGAUUUAAUCGACUAGCAAUAUUAAAGUUUUUACUCUGUUAACACAAGUUAAAAUGGAAAAUUUGACAUUCGCUGAAUUAGCAGACCUACAACUGGCUUAUGGCGCUGCUGAUGGUAAGGGAAGAUGCGCGUUGCGGAUUUACCAAGAACGCUUUCACCAGCGGCGCUUACCAAGUCCGGAUCAUUACGGAAGUCUCAUAAUGUGGGUGAAAGACCACGCACAUCAGUGCAUGUACCAGGCAUAGAAGAGAAAAUUUUAACGCAAAUUAACGAAUCUCCUUCCAUAAGUACCCGAGCUGUAGCGCACUCAUUGCGAAUAAACCAUUUUCGGGUAUUGGAGGUUUUACACGAACAACAAUUGCAUUUAUUACCGACGUUCAACAGUAUCUUUUUGCGUAAUUGAUUACAAUGUGGAUCUUCUUAAAGUAAAUGAGUACAAAUCAAAGUUUUUUUAUUCAGUUUUUUUUGAGGAGCUCGGACUUUAGGAUCAAUUAGUCAACCAAC
RNAcentral lists this long non-coding RNA (5671 nucleotides) under Anthonomus grandis grandis. RNAcentral describes it as "uncharacterized LOC126734026". The record is from RNAcentral. Lineage: Eukaryota; Metazoa; Arthropoda; Insecta; Coleoptera; Curculionidae.